CUAUAACCUUUCCACCUCUCUCUUUUGAACAGAUUUUGACGGAACGAUAUCAACUGCUAUUUUACCUCAAACGUUGUACAUUAUCGAAUAUAUAUGUCGUUGUUAACGAUGCACAAAUGUAUGUGGAUUGUAUGAGUCAGACAUCUCGAAGUAUAUUCGUAUCGUGUUUCUCUUGCAUGAUCCGUUGGUUGUUUGUCCGUUUGCCAGGUUUGCCUGCGUCCAUCAAGUUCGACAAUCCAAAAAAUAUAUAAAACACUUGCUUAAAGUGUUUUACCUCAUCAAAACAUUCAAUGGAUAAAGCAGGCUCUUUUCUCCUCCCGUAACCAUGGUGAACAGAUAACCGCUUCUCCGGCCGUCCUGACAUCAUGGGUACCUGCCUCUGCAAAGAGCUCCAGCGCUCCAUGGCGGUAUUGCAGGGUGAGGUGGAGGAAGGGCAGCCCCCACCUGGACAGAACGACCUUAAUCCUCCUGACGGCAGCACCACCGAUAAGAUCAGUAGAUAUGAUAUUGGAGAACUAGCCACUUCUUCUCUGCUUGGUAAUACACUCAUACACGCAUGUACUGACACCCAAAUGCACACACACACUCGCACCUAAACAUAUAUGCACGC
Gadus macrocephalus (Pacific cod) is the source of this 610-nucleotide long non-coding RNA. RefSeq lists it as uncharacterized. The transcript has 4 exons. NCBI's taxonomy places the organism in Eukaryota, Metazoa, Chordata, Actinopteri, Gadiformes, Gadidae. The record is from RefSeq and is a predicted model, not a curated record.